AGACGACUCUCGGCAACGGAUAUCUCGGCUCUCGCAUCGAUGAAGAACGUAGCGAAAUGCGAUACUUGGUGUGAAUUGCAGAAUCCCGUGAACCAUCGAGUCUUUGAACGCAAGUUGCGCCCGAGGCCACUCGGCCGAGGGCACGCCUGCCUGGGCGUCACGCCACCCAUCGCCCCCUCCCGCGGCACUCCCGUGCCCGGCCGGGGAGCGGAGACUGGCCGUCCGUGCCCGAGUCCUCGGCGCGCGGUCGGCAGAAAAGGAGGACACCGUGCGGCGCGGCACGGCGUGUGGGGGUUGAGAGGCGAUUCGUCGCCGAUCGUACGUCGCGCCCGCAUCCCGCCGCGCGCAGCGUCACCCGUGGGACCGGACUCGCCCGCAGCCGCGGGCGCUCGGACCGCGACCCCAGGUCAGGCGUGGCCACCCGCUGAAUUUAAGCAUAUCAAUAAGCGGAGGAGAAGAAACUUACGAGGAUUCCCCUAGUAACGGCGAGCGAACCGGGAGCAGCCC
RNAcentral lists this ribosomal RNA (507 nucleotides) under Litsea garrettii. RNAcentral's name for it is "eukaryotic LSU rRNA". The stretch from base 5 to 160 matches the Rfam family "5.8S ribosomal RNA". Lineage: Eukaryota; Viridiplantae; Streptophyta; Magnoliopsida; Laurales; Lauraceae. The record is from RNAcentral.